AUGAGCCGAUAUCUAGCUUAGUAAAAAUUAUCCUUGUUGAAUACUUAAUGCGCAUAUUGUAUAUGUUUAAGAUAUAAAAGUAAACUAUAGCAAUUAAAUUCUAUUGAAGUUGAAAGAUAUCCCUGAGCUAUAGUUACCAGUCAUCAAUUCAUCCGAGAAACCAACUUGUUGCGAGCACGAUGUUUGUUAUUUUUUUUUUUUAAACCGCACACUUGAUUGUUUUUCCAGCCCUUUGUAGGAAAAAGUUACAGACGGAUCCCUUCCGCUAUGCGUAGGGACUCUAUUACUUUCAAACAUAAAAAAGUUCUGUCAAGGUUUUUCUAAUGUAAAUGUUAUGUUGUCCAAACAGUCCAAAGUUCGAAAAUAAAUUUCCGUUAAAAGAAUGUACAAUCUACUGGCACGUUGAUUUAUGUAAGGUAACCGGAAAACACAACAAACAUGGAAACCCAUUUACUCGCCCUUCCUAGAAUUUGGGAAAAUGAAUUUAGAUGAUCUCUAACUACAGGUAAAAGUAAAAGGUAGUAGAAGCCAAGUAAAUUUCAAAAUAUUUAAUCUAUUCUAAAUUAAGUUCUAUGGUUAGGUAAUCAUUUUCAUAGGCUUUUCAUUUCUUCAGAUACCUUAUGGUAGACGCCAUAGCAAUAUCCUCCAGAAAUUGAAAAACAAAACUAGAACUUUUUCUGGCUUCAGCGAUGUGGUUUUACUCACCAUUCGACCCUUUCUGUAAUUAUUUCCUUUUGCACGUAGUUUAAAGCGAUUCAUUUGUGAUAUUAAGUAAUUUGAUUCGCAAUUUAAAGUUAAUUUAUUUGAGGAAUCGAAGAACAGAAACAAAAAGCGUUGAAAAGGGAAUGAAUCCCCCACAAGGAUAAAAUGCGGAGUAAGUCGAUUUACCUGAAAGAAGAACAAAACUGCAAUCGAAUAUGGGAGGGAUUUAAUUUUAAUAGCUUCUCUACAGCGGAGUAGAAAGGGAGAGAGAACAAAUUAAAUGUAAUCGAAUUCAAGGACAAAUUUACGAAAAACAUAUCUCAUCCGUUCAAAGAGUAGAAGAGAAAUUGUAUUUUUUAACAUAAUAUGUACCCAAUAGCGGAAUAAGAAUCAUCCAAAAUGUUUAUUGUUUGUAACGUAGAAUUUAUUUCACUAUAAUAUCACCAUUCAAUAAAAAAAUCCAGAGCCCUA
Long non-coding RNA from Hermetia illucens (black soldier fly), 1173 nucleotides. RefSeq lists it as uncharacterized. NCBI's taxonomy places the organism in Eukaryota, Metazoa, Arthropoda, Insecta, Diptera, Stratiomyidae. The transcript is spliced from 2 exons. The record is from RefSeq and is a predicted model, not a curated record.